This 86-nucleotide transfer RNA is filed under the name Akkermansiaceae bacterium. Its description in RNAcentral is "tRNA-Tyr". It matches the Rfam family "tRNA". Rfam says of the family: Transfer RNA (tRNA) molecules are approximately 80 nucleotides in length. Their secondary structure includes four short double-helical elements and three loops (D, anti-codon, and T loops). Further hydrogen bonds mediate the characteristic L-shaped molecular structure. tRNAs have two regions of fundamental functional importance: the anti-codon, which is responsible for specific mRNA codon recognition, and the 3' end, to which the tRNAs corresponding amino acid is attached (by aminoacyl-tRNA synthetases). tRNAs cope with the degeneracy of the genetic code in two manners: having more than one tRNA (with a specific anti-codon) for a particular amino acid; and 'wobble' base-pairing, i.e. permitting non-standard base-pairing at the 3rd anti-codon position. The record is from RNAcentral. Lineage: Bacteria; Pseudomonadati; Verrucomicrobiota; Verrucomicrobiia; Verrucomicrobiales; Akkermansiaceae.
GGGUAGAUGGCCGAGUGGUUAAAGGCGGCAGACUGUAAAUCUGCUCACGCAAGUGUACGUUGGUUCGAAUCCAACUCUGCCCACCA